UCUGAUGCAAUGUUGCCAUAUAUAUUUGAAGUCCACUAAAGGAACUUAACAUCCUUUCAAGAAAUAAUUCUCCUUAGUCUAUAGAAAAAGCCAACAAAAUAUUAAUUCCACGCACACCCAAGUUUAUUUGCUGAAAAUUAACGAAUAACGUGACAAUAACAUCUCACCAACUUCACAGCCUAGCUAGUAUUAAGAAGAAGGUAAAUUAAUUAACCAGUAAAGUAAAUAAAAUAACGUUGGCUGAUUAAAACACAAAGCAAUCGAAAGAGAAAAAUUUGAAGGGGAAAAAUAACAUACAAGAAUAUUACACACCAAUGAGGAAAAGAAAAGCGAAAAAAAGAAGAAGAUAAAAUGACAUCAAAUGAAACAUCUUCAAAUCAGUUGCAACUGAGAGACUCGAAUCAAAUACUUUUCCUGACUACAAAGAAAGAAACGAUGAAAGCAAGAAAUCCUAAUAGAAAUGCUGGAGAAGAAUUGGUGGAGCCAAUAUUUUUUGAGGGAGAAGAUUCAGCAUAGUUGCCUCCUCCAUAUUGUGCUGUUGCAACAGCCAAAAUCAUGGCCAAAAAAAUAACUACAAUUGCAACUGAACCCCUAAAACCCAUGCUUACGCUCUCCUUAAGUUGCAACCUUAAUUACACAAAAGUUGAUGAUUAAUUUCUUUUUGAAAGUUCUACUCAGAUUCCAACAAAG
This 690-nucleotide long non-coding RNA is filed under the name Nicotiana benthamiana. RNAcentral describes it as "long non-coding RNA (NBEN_LNC030640)". Lineage: Eukaryota; Viridiplantae; Streptophyta; Magnoliopsida; Solanales; Solanaceae. The record is from RNAcentral.